This is a non-coding RNA of Trichonephila clavipes, 68 nucleotides long. Lineage: Eukaryota; Metazoa; Arthropoda; Arachnida; Araneae; Nephilidae. The record is from the annotation of a GenBank genome assembly.
GCCAGUUUGGUGGCUAUGACCCUCGGCUUGUAACCUAGUGGGCUCGGGUUCAAAUCCCGAGUAAGACU